This 850-nucleotide ribosomal RNA is filed under the name uncultured bacterium. RNAcentral's name for it is "bacterial SSU rRNA". It matches the Rfam family "Bacterial small subunit ribosomal RNA", at positions 1 to 830 of the family's 1533-position model. The record is from RNAcentral.
CGGGUUACGAUUCGCCCUUAGAGUUUGAUCAUGGCUCAGAUUGAACGCUGGCGGCAGGCUUAACACAUGCAAGUCGAGCGGGGAAAGGUAGCUUGCUACUGGACCUAGCGGCGGACGGGUGAGUAAUACUUAGGAAUCUACCUAUUAGUGGGGGACAACGUUCCGAAAGGAGCGCUAAUACCGCAUACGCCCUACGGGGGAAAGCAGGGGAUCACUUUUGACCUUGCGCUAAUAGAUGAGCCUAAGUCGGAUUAGCUAGUUGGUAGGGUAAAGGCCUACCAAGGCGACGAUCUGUAGCGGGUCUGAGAGGAUGAUCCGCCACACUGGGACUGAGACACGGCCCAGACUCCUACGGGAGGCAGCAGUGGGGAAUAUUGGACAAUGGGGGGAACCCUGAUCCAGCCAUGCCGCGUGUGUGAAGAAGGCCUUUUGGUUGUAAAGCACUUUAAGCGAGGAGGAGAGGCCCUAGGUUAAUACCCUAGGUGCUUGGACGUUACUCGCAGAAUAAGCACCGGCUAACUCUGUGCCAGCAGCCGCGGUAAUACAGAGGGUGCGAGCGUUAAUCGGAUUUACUGGGCGUAAAGUGUGCGUAGGCGGCCACUUAAGUCGGAUGUGAAAUCCCCGAGCUCAACUUGGGAAUUGCAUUCGAUACUGGGUGGCUAGAGUAUAGGAGAGGAAGGUAGAAUUCCAGGUGUAGCGGUGAAAUGCGUAGGGAUCUGGAGGAAUACCGAUGGCGAAGGCAGCCUCCUGGCAUCAUACUGACACUGAGGUUCGAAAGCGUGGGUAGCAAACANGAUUAGAUACCCCUGGUAGUCCACGCCGUAAACGAUNUCUACUAGUUCNUUGGGGG